GGUAAGUGGGAUCCACGACCAAAGCGGGGUUAGUCCCAAUAAGUGGGAUCCGCGAUCAAAGCGGGGUUAGUCCCAGGUAAGUGGGAUCCGCGACCAAAGCGGGGCAGCUCCUCUGUAAAGAAAGAGAGAGCAUUACAUUUUAUUGCAGCUGCACUGUGUACUUUCGCUUCUACUUUUGUUUUUGUUUUCUGUGUUUCUUUUGUUGUGUCAUUUCGCUUUUGUUUUUUGUGCUUCUUUUGUUGUUGUGUCAUGGGUGUUGCUUCUUCAAGCCCAAUUUUGUUGGCCCUGGAUGGGUUGCUACGUUCAAAAGGACUUAAGGUAAAGCAGAGCACUUUGCAAAGGUUUUUGAGGGAAGCUGAUAUAGCGGCUCCUUGGUUUGCUUUUUCAGGGAGUCUUACGAUUCCUAGUUGGGAUAAAUUAGGCAAAGAUCUUGACUUUGCUUCUGAGCAGGGCAUAUUAGAGGGUGGGGUGAUACCCCUUUGGAAAAUGGUCCGUAGUUGCCUUACAGAUGUCAGAUGUCAGGAAGCACUUACUAAAGGACAGGAAGUUCUAGAGCAAUUACAUGAGGAGAAAUCGGAGACGGCAGGAAGUGAGGUGCCUCAGGAGGAUGGGAGUGUGCGGAGCGUGAAACAGGGGAGGAGA
Molecule: long non-coding RNA, 642 nt
Filed under: Marmota monax (woodchuck)
Lineage: Eukaryota; Metazoa; Chordata; Mammalia; Rodentia; Sciuridae
Source: RNAcentral